CAAUUUUCGUGCAAAUAGAGUCGAACAAAGAAGAAGGUGGCGCAAGAUGGAUUCAGAAUAGGAGAGCUUAAAAGGGCUCGUUUGCGACAAAAGUUACUACUUGCAGGGAGUUCCUUCAUCUCAAUUCAAGAAUGGUUGAAGUUGAGAACCAUUCGUCUCCUCCUUCUGAUCCGGCUCCAACAGAUCCAACAACCCCACAUCCUCAAACUGGGUUCAAUCCCAGCAGAAUGAUUGGUAUCAUCAGAAGGAAGGCCAUGAUAAAAGACUUAGCUGCUAUAUACCAUGCAGAAUGCCUUGCAUAUUGUCAAGAACUUUUGGAACUUCAAAAAAAAGCAGAAGAGUCAUUAAUUGAAAUGAAAGCUGCAGAAGAGUCAAGGAGAGAAACAAUGAGGCCCCCAAAACGUAUGAAGAAAGCCCGUUAGCACCUAAUCAAACGUGCCAUCAUCUUCGACUCAACAUUAACUCUAGCCAGUCUUCAUUACUCCGGAUAUCAGGACCUAGAACAAGACGAAAGAAUUCGGAAAGGGAAGUAUCAACUUUCUUAGGAGGAUUCAAACCUGGUUUUGAGGUAAGUAAUGGAUUAAUUUAAUGUUUUUGUUAUGUAUGUUAGUAUUUGAAUCAUUGUAAUGCAUGUGUGCAUGCGAAUUUUGUACUCAUGAUAACAUCUAAUUCAAAUGAGUAUGAAUAAAUGACUAUAAUCCAUGAAUCAA
Solanum lycopersicum (tomato) is the source of this 710-nucleotide non-coding RNA. The record is from RefSeq and is a predicted model, not a curated record. Lineage: Eukaryota; Viridiplantae; Streptophyta; Magnoliopsida; Solanales; Solanaceae.